CCCUCCGCGUCUCUUCCAACCGCACCAUUAACCUCAUCAGCGCCUUCCCUCACUUCCUGCUACCGCAGUUCCGCGUCUCUCUUCUCCGACGACACCAACGGCGCUUUAUCUUCAUCCCCAACUACACUAAAAUCAUCAUCCAACUGAGAAUCGAAUAGGAGAACCAUUCUAAUAGAGAAAUCACCGUCAAUAAAGAACGCGGGGAUUAACGAAAUAGUUCUGGAAGUCUCUCAAAUCGAGUUUCAAUAAUCCCUGUGGUUGCAUAAUGAGAGCAAGGACUAUCAUAGCUAGAAGUCUUUGGAAGGUAUUACAUACACGCCGUGUGAUAACUCUGGUACUGAAUGAACAGAGGCCUGAGAGGAUUGUGCUGUCAUUCCUCGUGCGCCCAGCUGGUCUCAGCAACAACAAGUGUAGAUGUAGGCAUUGGCUGUAGUUGGAUUGUGCUCGGUGCUUGGUCGCGGUCAGUCUAGACAGUGUUGUUGGCUCGAAAGAGCUGAGGCUAGCUGGUCAGGCAACAGAAACUGCAGCUGCGUCAAACUAUACCUCAGUAUCCUAGCUGUGGGUUGAUUUCAGUUGAAGCAAUGAGCCGGAGAAAUUUGUUGGUGUUGUUUGGAGUUGGUGGUUCCAUGGCGACAUCCGCAAAUCCCUACCACGAUUUGGUUCCAGUUAUACACGAUAUACGAAGCCAUAUUACAAAGAUGAGUUCCUCACUUUCUGACUGAUCCUUACUUAGCAUAUGUUUCACAACCUUUGAUCGUUCUAAAAAAAAAAAUUUGCAGCUGAACUUGCUUAACAUUGUGCCAGUGUUGCUCAUUGAUAGAGUUUAGCAGCCCUUUGCAUGUGAUUAUGUGAUGAAGCCCCUUGUAAAUGUAUACCUUCUUUCAGUCCGCACGUAUGCACGUAUCCACGAAGAUUUUUACUUUAUUUAAAACUUCUUAAAGUUGUAUAUGCUCGUACCUCAUCGAACUGAAAUUGAAAGAAAAGGGGAAAGGGAGGAUGCUAGCGCCAAGAAGCUUGCUAUUGUCAAGCAUAUUUGAUCCAUCUCGCGCCUACAACCCGACGCCCUCAAAGCUCAGCAAGGAUUGCUUCGAGAAUGGAUGAUGCUUGCCCAAAUUGCUCCAAACCAGUGCCAAAACAUAACAAAUAGGCAAGGUCUAGCCCUAGCUGCAACUCAGGGCAACCUCUGCCACAAUACAGACUAGAACGACUAAGGAGAAACUCAACUUGAUGUUCAUUUGAAUUUGGUGUAACGGGUCCGAUUGCAACAGCGAAGGCAGAGCAGUAUUCCUCCGCUAAAACACAGGCUAAAGAUUACACCUUCUAUAUACCUCUGAUUGCCUGCUAGUGAAUCAGCGCCAAGUGCCUUGGAUUGUUUUUCAGGGUCAACAACUUAUCUUUCAACCUCAGAAUAUUGAUUGUAGCAGCUGAUUUCCGAAUUCCUCCGACGCGUGCAUUGCAGCAACAACAUGGUCCAAGAGCCUUUAUUAGUAAUCUUCUUGCAAGCUCAAAGCAUACCCACUCGGCUGUUGGUGAAUUGCUAUAUGUGAAAGGUUGCUCGGAGUUUUGAAUCGUAAGCCUAACGAUCAGUAAGGUCAGGGGACGAUCAUACGGCUGCUAUGUACUCGCGACUUGGCCCCAACUGAUCUCAUCGGAAGCUAAAAUACCCGCUGCUCAAUGCAAAGAUAAGUUCCCAUUGCCUUGGUUCGAUAUUUACUUGACACUUAUCCUAGAGUUCCCUGUUGUGCUUGGGUGAGAAUUUAUGCAUAUCCUUAGGACUGUUUCUAUAAUGAUCACACAUUUCUGUUAAAAAGAGAGAGAGAGAGAGAGAGAGAGAGAGAGAGAGAGAGAGAGGAGGGGGUGCUUGAAUAUAGUGUUGAGCUUGCAUUAGCAUCCGACUGCCUAAUAUCUGUAGGAAUGUAUAUCUUGCUUUGAACUAUCACAUGCAUAUACACUAUGUAUACACCAAAAGCUCUCAUUGCCUUAACAGCAUAGUACAACAUCUUACACCUCGAAACUAAUGUGCGUCUGACCCUUUAGCACGAAAUAGCUUCUUGUUCUACUACUGCACUAUGAACAUCUUUUGUGUUUCACUUCACCUGCCUGAUUUUCUACUUAGCGCCUCCCCAAUAAUCGUAUCGCCUGUCUAACCACUAGCCCUAGAAAGCAUGCUCUCUUCUCGUUGCCCAUGUACAUUAUGCAAAAUGCAUGUUUCAGAGCUUGUCGAAUACUUCGGAAUUUUCUGUUUUGAUGAUAUUUUAAAGUAUGGAAGUCUUUGGGUCUACUAAUCUAUACGUAUGAAUCUAACAUCCUUAGCUAAGCUUUAUAUUGUAAUGUAUAAGCCUACAUAUGCGCGUCGAUAAGUGACAAUUUAGCCAUGCAAAACAUGAUGGAUACCCUCGCUUGUUUAUGUAUGUUCGUAUUUUGCGUCCAUGGACCUUGUAUGUUCGUUUAUGUAUUUUGUUUAUGUAUGUUCGUUUUCAUCUUCACCUGGUGAACAUAUUUUAUUAAGAAAGCAUCAGCUGCUCACUGUUAGUUCACGUGCCUAUCCCAUAUAUUUUAGCCAACUAAAAGCAUGAAGCGUCCAAUAUAAAACUUACUUGAAUAUUGAUAUUUGCCAUUCAUGAAAUGGGCAUGACAUCUAGUCACAUAUAUAGGUUGUCACUUUAUUUAUUUUUACAAAGCAUCAAUAUUAUCUAGUAACGUGCUCUGGCUACCAUGCUAGCAAGGGUCCAUAGAGGCCGCUUGCAUAAAUGCAAAUUUACAAAAGGCUACGGGAAUGCCAAAGGUGUCCGGGCUGACAAAUUUACAAAAGGCUACGGGAAUACCAAAGGCGCCCGGGCUGACAAAUCUACAAAAGGCUACGGGAAUGCCAAAGGCGCCCGGUCGGCUGACGAUUAUACAAAGUAGAAAUUAACGUAUAAUCCCAUAGUUGUUGGGCCUUAGACGUUUUAGUCCUCCCCUCUCAAGCCUGGUACUCUCCGGUCCAAAUUUACCCAAACUUAAAGGAGCCCGUCCUUUUCUGAACGAUUUAAUCCAAACCUUUUUUUUCUGAUGACGAAAUUAACCUCAUAUAGUCGUAUGGAAACCAGAAGUACAUUUCUAUUUCAUUUUUCACAGUCGUUUGGUUUUGACGACAAAGCUCUGCAGGGGAAAACAAUUUAGGUUUUAGUUAAUCAUCUCGUUUCAGCUCGAUUAUCGGAAGCGUUUCAACAAUUUUGGUCUAUGAGAUCUUAAUUAGAUUAUUCAAUCUAUCCACGAACACAUACCAGAUCUCAGAGUGAGACAGAGUGUUCAUAUUAUGAAGACGGGGACGUGUGAGUUUGGUUUAGAAAGUAAAUUCCAUCAUCCAAAUUCAGCUGGUGAUUCCAUUCUUGCACCGGCACCUACAUUUUAUUCCAUGCUUGUGCUACACUGCUACUAGUGCACAUUCAAUUGAUGAUGCUGCAAGGAUGAUUCAGUUUGGAGAUUCAAAUGUAAUGGUAGCUGGAGGAACAUAAUUCAGUGAUGCUUUAUCUAUAACAGGAUUUUGUAGGUAGUGAUCAUCCAUUUAAAAACCCUUCUUUUGCUCUCUGUCAGUCUCAUAUACCCAUGAUUUGCAAUAUCAGCUACAACCAAAUUAACGUAUCUUAUUCAAGUGCUAUGAGUCACUGGCUGUUGGUUAUGACAAAAAUUACAUGUGUACAUAUUGGUACACUUGUAAAAUAAGUGUGCAUUGUUGUGUACACGUGACAAAAAUUACAUGUGUACAUAAUAGUGCAGCUGUAAUACAAGUGUACAUUAUUGUGCACAUGUGAUAAAUUUCAAGCUGGUGGACAGUGGACAUUUAUCGCAUAAGAUUACAAUGGCUGGUUAUGGGUGUGGAUGGUCUAGUGCUCAUGCAACUUUCUGGUACUAUGGUCAGGAACAACAAAUGCAGAACUUUUGAGGGCCUCACUUAGUCCAGUAGAGUACAUUGCCUCACUGUUUAACUCAGAAGAUGAGUUGAAGAUGAUAGAGGAGGUUGUGAGCACAUUUUCUUUUGAAAUCACCUUAUGUUGCUAUGCUUGCAUUCCAAGAUGCUGCAACACGGUGCAAGGGGUAAACAUGUUGGUGUAUCAGAGUAACUCUCAUGAAGAAGUAGGUCCGAGUGGGUGUAUGAGUGACUAUUUUCAUGCAUGUUUUGUAGGUGUGUACAAAAUGGUGCACAUGUGAAAAACUGAUUGCAUAAGCUUAUGAAUUUCUGUGCAUGAUUUUUUUUUUGUACACAGUUAAUUGAGCGAUAAUUAAAUUUUUAAAAACUCAAAAUUAUAUAGACAUAUGGGUACUCUUUUUGUAGAUUUCGGAAAGAGCUUUCCAAAUAUGUAAAGUUUGUGAAUUUUUGAUGAACGGUGUGAAAGAUAAAUCAUUUUUAAAUA
Papaver somniferum (opium poppy) is the source of this 4394-nucleotide RNA transcript. RefSeq lists it as uncharacterized. The record is from RefSeq and is a predicted model, not a curated record. The transcript is spliced from 8 exons. Lineage: Eukaryota; Viridiplantae; Streptophyta; Magnoliopsida; Ranunculales; Papaveraceae.